RNAcentral lists this ribosomal RNA (253 nucleotides) under uncultured prokaryote. Its description in RNAcentral is "partial 16S ribosomal RNA". It matches the Rfam family "Bacterial small subunit ribosomal RNA", at positions 525 to 777 of the family's 1533-position model. The record is from RNAcentral.
ACGUAGGGUGCAAGCGUUAUCCGGAAUUAUUGGGCGUAAAGGGCGCGUAGGCGGUUUUUUAAGUCGGAUGUGCAAUCCCUGGGCUCAACCCAGGAACUGCAUCCGAGACUGGAAGGCUAGAGUACUGGAGAGGGUGGUGGAAUUCCUCGUGUAGCGGUGAAAUGCGUAGAGAUGAGGAGGAACACCAGUGGCGAAGGCGGCCACCUGGACAGUAACUGACGCUGAGGCGCGAAAGCGUGGGUAGCAAACAGGA